GCCGACGUGGCGCAAUCCGGUAGCGCUCCCGACUUGUAAUCGGGCGGUUAGGGGUUCAAGUCCCCUCGUCGGCU
This 74-nucleotide transfer RNA is filed under the name Actinomycetes bacterium. RNAcentral describes it as "tRNA-Thr". It matches the Rfam family "tRNA". Rfam says of the family: Transfer RNA (tRNA) molecules are approximately 80 nucleotides in length. Their secondary structure includes four short double-helical elements and three loops (D, anti-codon, and T loops). The record is from RNAcentral. Lineage: Bacteria; Bacillati; Actinomycetota; Actinomycetes.